UCAAUUAUUUAUAGCCUCUGGCUAUAGGAAAUUGUUAGUGGCAGACGGGUGAGUAAUGCGUAGGAAUCUACCUAGUAGUACGGAAUAGCCAUUAGAAAUGGUGGGUAAUACUGUAUAAUCCCCGAGGGGGAAAGAUUUAUCGCUAUUAGAUGAGCCUACGUUAGAUUAGCUAGUUGGUGAGGUAAUGGCUUACCAAGGCUAUGAUCUAUAGCUGGUCUGAGAGGACGAUCAGCCACACUGGAACUGAGAUACGGUCCAGACUCCUACGGGAGGCAGCAGUGGGGAAUAUUGGACAAUGGGCGAAAGCCUGAUCCAGCUAUGCCGCGUGAGUGAAGAAGGCCUUCGGGUUGUAAAACUCUUUCAAUAGGGAAGAUAAUGACGGUACCUAUAAA
This 392-nucleotide ribosomal RNA is filed under the name Ehrlichia canis. RNAcentral's name for it is "bacterial SSU rRNA". It matches the Rfam family "Bacterial small subunit ribosomal RNA", at positions 63 to 485 of the family's 1533-position model. RNAcentral also lists the same sequence under 1 other name. Lineage: Bacteria; Pseudomonadati; Pseudomonadota; Alphaproteobacteria; Rickettsiales; Anaplasmataceae. The record is from RNAcentral.